UUUAAAACAUAUGAUAUCAUGGAAUGCAUCACAGCACAAACAUUUCACAUCAAGGAUGAACUUGUCACCACUUAGCCCUCCAUACAGUCUAAUCAUGCCAGGGGCGUAGUGCAGGCACACCUGGACUUCCAUAGCAUAACAUACAUAUCCAUUCAUGCCGGGGGCGUAGUGCAGGCUCACCCGGACUUCCAUAGUCUAUCAUGUCUUAC
This 209-nucleotide long non-coding RNA is filed under the name Manihot esculenta (cassava). RNAcentral's name for it is "long non-coding RNA (MESC_LNC011696)". The record is from RNAcentral. Lineage: Eukaryota; Viridiplantae; Streptophyta; Magnoliopsida; Malpighiales; Euphorbiaceae.